RNA transcript from Apus apus (common swift), 6721 nucleotides. It is a transcript of the gene named SET domain containing 5, with no coding region annotated. Lineage: Eukaryota; Metazoa; Chordata; Aves; Apodiformes; Apodidae. The transcript has 23 exons. The record is from RefSeq and is a predicted model, not a curated record.
GGAGAAGCCGCCGCCGCCGCUGCCGGGGGGAGGGGCUGGCGCCGCGGCCGCCGCCGAGGGCUCGGUCCCGCCGGCUGCCCAGGAGACGCCGUGGCGCUGAGCCGGGCCUAGUGCCGCGCGGGGGCCCGGGGAACGGGCCGGCCAGGUUUCCCCAUGUCCGUGACGUGUUGGCCGAGGCUCUGCGGCUCCUCUCCGCCCUCGGAGCGGCCAGUCGCUGCCCUCUGGACUCCGUGAUCCCCGACGGGCGUCAUGAGCAUUGCAAUCCCUCUGGGAGUCACCACACCAGAUACAUCCUACUCCGACAUGGCUGCAGGAUCGGACCCAGAGUCUGUGGAAGCUAGUCCAGCUGUCAGUGAGAAGAAUGUGUACUCCAGCCACGGCUAUGGGGCCACCCAGAAACACAGCUAUCGCGGGCUGCCUUACGCAGAUCAUAAUUAUGGAGCCCCUCCUCCUCCAACGCCGCCAGCCUCUCCUCCUGUCCAGACCAUUAUACCUCGUGCAGAACUGAACGGCCUGCACUCGCCUGAUGAGGAGAACUCCGGGGACAGUGAGAGCUCCUCAGAAGGAGAAGCAAUUCCCACUUGGUGCCACUGCAGUGUCUCUCAAGAUGGUUUCCUCCUCAAGUGUGAAAAGUGCAGAGGAAUGAGCAGGGGGAAGGUGAUCAGACUCCGCCGCCGGAAGCAGGACAACGUGUCAGGUGGGGACAGCAGUGCAACUGAGAGCUGGGAUGAAGAACUCUCUCCCUCCACAGUGCUGUACACAGCCACGCAGCACACCCCCACCAGCAUCACCCUGACUGUCAACCGUGUCCGCAGAAGCAAACCCAAGAAGAGGAAGAGGAGUACAGAAAAAGCUCGCACUGCUCCAAAGGCCAAAAAGAUCAAGGCAUUUCGCGAGGGCUCACGGAAGUCUCUGAGGAUGAAGAAUUCCCCUUCUGAAGCACAUGCCUUGGAUGAAAACACAGCUGAAGGGUGGGAGAAUCGAAUUCGCCUCUGGACAGAUCAGUACGAAGAAGCCUUCACCAACCAGUACAGCGCUGACGUGCAGAACUUGUUGGAGCGUCAUCUGAACUCCCACAAGGAAUACGUGGGCAAAACUGCUAUGCUAGACACAAUCAACAAAACUGAGCUGGCCUGCAAUAAUACUGUUAUUGGGUCCCAGAUGCAGCUGCAGCUGGGAAGGGUGACUCGGGUUCAGAAGCACCGGAAGAUCCUGAGGGCAGCAAGAGACUUGGCACUAGAUACCCUUAUAAUUGAGUAUCGAGGGAAGGUUAUGUUACGACAGCAAUUCGAGGUCAAUGGGCAUUUCUUCAAAAAGCCAUAUCCCUUUGUGCUGUUCUACUCCAAGUUCAAUGGUGUUGAGAUGUGCGUGGAUGCCCGCACCUUUGGUAACGAUGCCAGGUUCAUCAGGCGUUCCUGCACUCCAAAUGCAGAGGUUCGUCAUGUGAUUGCUGAUGGGAUGAUCCACCUGUGUAUCUAUGCUGUUGCCACCAUUGCCAAGGACACAGAGGUUACCAUCGCCUUUGACUAUGAGUACAACAUCUGCAACUAUAAAGUGGACUGUGCGUGUCACAAGGGGAACCGGAAUUGCCCUGUGCAGAAACGUAGCCCAAAUGCUGCAGACCACCUACCUCCACCUGUUUUAGGCACACUGCUUGGGGCAGAAACACGCCGUCGAAAAGCCCGUCGAAAGGAGCUAGAAAUGGAACAGCAGGGCCUUGCAUCAGAUGAGAACAGCAGUCAACAAACAGAGGAAGUUACUGAGGCACCUGCAGCCGCCAGUGACAAUGAGGUGGCAGAGAAAGAGGAGAAACAAGAAGAGGAGAAAGAGGAGCCUGUAGAUGAACAGGGAGCCUUGGUGCACAACCGACGGUCCCGAGAAGACAGGAAGGUAGAAGCCAUCAUGCACAUGUUUGAAAACUUGGAAAAGAGAAAGAGGAGACGAGAACAACCCCCAGACCGUAACAGUACUGAUGCUGAAAUCAACAUCAAUUCUGAGGCUCCUGAGCUGGAGGAAGUAAAAACAGAGACUCCUGAAACUGAAGAUGGAAGCUCAGCACCAAGUGCUGCUGCUCCAAACGUUUCUAACAGUAACAGCAGUACUGGGGUGAACACACGACGGUCUUCACAAGCAGUGGAUGCUGUCCCUGAAAAAGCAGUUACUAAACCAGCUCCAGCAAAACCCUCCAGGCCCCGACCAAAAAGUCGCUUCUCUCGAUACCGGACCAGUUCAGCACAAAGACUGAGAAGGCAGAAACAAGCCAGUUCCCAGCAAGCUGAACUCACACAGGCUGUCCCAGAGGAAAGAAGCACUGCCAGCUCAGUAACCGCAACAGAUGUCAGCAAUACAGAAGGUCCAGGAGAAGGCAGACAGACGGCAGGGUCUGACCCAACUGCUGUCCUGGCUGCGGGAUCUCAGUCUAAUCGAGCUGCAGUGAAGUACCCCAAAACUAAAAAGUAUCUGGUUACAGAAUGGCUGAACGACAAGGCGGAAAAGCAGGAGUGCCCCAUUGAAUGCCCUCUGCGCAUUACUACAGACCCAACAGUUUUGGCAACUACCCUAAAUAUGUUGCCAGGUCUCGUCCACUCCCCACUAAUUUGUACCACACCCAAACACUACAUUCGUUUUGGUUCACCUUUCAACCCUGAGAGACGUCGAAGGCCCUUUCUGUUGGAUGGAAUGUACAGCUCCUGUAAAAAGCGCUGGAUCAAACAAGCCCUGGAAGAGGGAAUGACUCAGACCUCACCAGCUCCGCAAGAGAACAGAACUCAGUGUCUAUACCAAAGUAACGAGAACAGCAGUUCUUCCAGCAUCUGCAAAGAUGACACAGACUUGCUGAGUCCCCUGAAGAAGUGGAAGUCUCGCUACUUGAUGGAGCAGAAUGUGAAGAAGUUGCUGAGGCCCCUGUCUCCUGUCACCCCUCCACCUCCCAUCCCUUCAGUCCCUGGUUCCACAAGCCCACAGCUGGCUACACCCUGCUCAUCACUGCCAGGAGAGGAGGAGAGUCGCAACGGUUACGGCAUGAUGUUCUCACCAAUUCCCUCUCUGGCUGCCAGUCGCUGCAAUACUCCGCUACAGUUCGAGAACGUAUCCUCCCCUGAGAGUUCCCCUGCGCAUAGGCCUGAGUCCAUGUCACCUGAGCUCUGCCUCCGGUCUGACCCAGAUUUGAAAGGUGGGUACCUGGAUUCCAGUGCGAACACCUGCCCGGAACGACCAUCGCUGCUCAGCUUUGGAUCCUCUGAUCUAGCUUCUCAACCCUCCAUAAACUCUACUUCAGAGAUGAACUUCCCAGGGAAAAGUGGGGACACACAGAUGCUGCUACGAAGCUCUGAUCAGGCGUUUCGGACAGAGUUUAAUUUAAUGUAUGCCUUCUCCCCCCUGAACGCGAUGCCACGCGUGGAGGGGCUGGUGCGGGGGGCUGCUCCCUCUGCAGAGAGGAAGCCAGUGAACUCGGAGGCAGGAUGCUGCAGCUCCCCUGCUGAAGGGUAUUUCAGCAGACACGAGUCAGGGCUGCUUAAAGAGACCGUGCAUGGAUCCAUGUCUCCCUGCGGCGAGAGGCCUUGCGACGGCGUCAGGUCUGCUCCCCAGAAUCCGCCACAGAGGAAGAAGGUAUCUCUACUGGAAUAUCGCAAGCGGAAACAAGAAGCCAAGGAGGGAGGUGAUUCAGCACGAUGCACGGGGACUCCCACCCGACAGGGCAGCAGCAGUUCUGGGACUGACACAGAUGGCAGCAGCCUGCCCAGCUCCGUAGUACGAACCCCGUCCUCCCCACUAAGUGGCUUCUCCCCUUCUCAUCCCGCCCUGCCUCACGUAGAGGACAUCAGCCCACCAGACUCCAGGGGGUCUAGUUCCUCGACAUCACUCAGCAAAUCCCAGGAGAGCAUCAGCAGUAGGUGGAUGGUGCCCACGUCAGUGGAGAGGCUUCGGGAGGGCCGGGGCAUCCUGGAGAAGGUGCUGCGGAGCGGCGCGAAGGUGUCCCAGCGGAGCGAGUCCUCACCUACCUGUGACAGUGCUGCUGAGAGAGAUCCAGGUAGGAAGAUGAAACAUCUGAAUGCUUGGCAGAGUGAUGGGCUCAAAUAACUUCACAGACUUCUCUGUGAAGUUAGUUUUACCUUAAUCUUUAUCAAUGCCUUAUAAGAGCCUUCUGCAAACUGUAUUUUACUGUUAUUCAGAUAUUGCCUGAGCCUGUAUCCCUCUCCUGUUAGACCUGGAAGACCUCCAGGUUUCUCCAUGGUUUGGGUUCAGGACUACCUACAUCUUGGCUCUGACAAGGACAGCUUCUUUGUCCCUGAGCAGAUGGAUUAAGCAACAUUGCCUCGAUUUCCCCUGUGUACUGAGGAUGAAAGUUCCAUCAUUUAAUAAUUCUAGGAGGCUGAACAUCCAGAUAAAUGUAUGAUCACACUAAAAUGCAGAUGUAGGCUUUAGGCAGUGCUAAGAAAUAAUUUAGCUUCCAAGCCUCACUGUAGCACUUUUUGAAGUUGCUUGAUUCCUUGAGUUACAGUAUUUCUCAGUUUGGUGAAAUGCACCUCCUGACUGAGGUGAAACCAGUUAUGUGUUGAUGUUCCUUUCUUUUCUAAAUGAAAGCAUUGUCCUCACCAAGUAGCAUGCAGGGUCAGUGAGUAUUUGUAACCUGAGCAGAAAUUAUACCCCUCUUUUGUCCAUCUGUGGUCAAAGGGUGAGAUGUGACUUUCUGUGAGAUGGACAGGUCACUUCAUAAUUGCCCAACUUCUCAGCUGUGAAGUGGAGUUAUUUUUUAUUUUGCAGUCUGCGUUGAACAUGGUGGUUUUUCUCUGACAGAGUGUGCCUUCGGAAGGCUGAUCACACUUGGGACUUACAGUAAUGGAUCAUCGUAUUUAAACAGCUGAGUCUGUGUGUCACCAUCAGUCCUUGCUUCCUCAUAGCUGGGAACUGUUGUUAGAGAUUCCUGGCUGAGAUGGUUACAGCUGACUGAUGAUCCCUGCCACUCCUGGUGUUACCUUUAGGAGUUGUGAAGAUACACGUUUACUUGAUGCUGUUAACAGAUAAUAUGAGGGCAACUAAAAACCCCAAAACUUGGAUGGUUUGCUGGUGGAGCAUGUAGGAAUGAGAUGGAACUUGUGUGCAUGCCUCUCUUCUGAGAAUUGCAGCUGCUCUCUGUUAAAGCUGUCACUUCAUAUAUGCUUUGGGUUAACACAGGCCAGUACAGCCAAGAAAAGCAAUUCUUCUUUAUGUCCUUCCUUGUGCAGAUAUUAAGAAAUAGGGAAGAAAAAUGUUUGCUUUGUCUUUUAAGUUUCCACAAAGCAAACUCAAAGCAAAGUUACAGGUAAUUCACCCUUUGUGCUUUAGAGUCUUUCAAUAUUUAACUUGUCAAGGUUUUUUUCUGUGAACAGGCACUGCCAGAAAAUUGUACUGGUGUGCCCAGCCUCUUAAGAAAAAAUUUCUUCCAGAGAUCUUUAGAUUUCUUCUGAUUCUGAUACUCAAGUCUCUUCUGUGCCUGACUGCUUAACAAAACAUGCCCCGAACUUCAGGUUGUGCCUUCCUGCAGUGCAGUACUCAGAAUGCCACCCACAACAAACAUCGACUUGAUGCAUCAGAUGUAGUGUCAAGAAAUGGAAGGUAGCACAGGACACAUGCUGAAAACUUGACACUGUGGGUUCUUUGAAGGUUUUGUGUCCUGAGGAAGAGGACACGGGGCUUCCAAGCCUCAAGAGCAGACAAGGCAACUCCUUCCUGAUCCCUGUUUCGUGGGGGCAGCAGCUGUGCUGUAGCACAGAGAGGACAACCACCACAAAGCCAUGGGCACUGCUGACACUGGUGCUCGUGCCAGUGCAUCUGUUGCAAAGCCAGACCUCUCUGGCAGGAGCACAGAGCAGACUGAGGCAGCGUGUCCUGUUUCAUGGCUGACACACAUCUGUCAUAUAAUUUUGAAACUAAUACCAACACUGUUUUACCACGGCAUUUCAAAUGUCACUGCUGAGAAUCCCUGAGAUGCUGCAGCUGAGCAGCUCUGCCUCAUUAGACCACAGCAUAACUCUGAUGUGAAAUCUAGUUUCUCCAGUUUCACUCCCUCCUAAAGCACCAUCACCAGGUGAACUCCAUGGUUACAGUGGGAGUGACUGAAAUACACACAUGACAAAGUGGCUGGGUCACUUGCAAUAAGUACUUUUUGCCUACUCCAGUUCAAGUUCAUUAUUUGGUGGGACAAGAAGCUCACAUAUCCUCUAAGAUAUAGGUGCUAGAAAGGCUUGCUCUGGCAAGAAGCAGCUUAUUCUUCUUGAUCUCUCGUGUGGCAAAGGUGGGUCAUUGUGUACUGUGCUGCUGUUACCUGUCAAACCUUGAAGCAUUGUCAUCAUCUUGCCCUGUUUCUGAAAUAGGCAUUUCUGAGGUCUGAGAGUAACCAUCUCCCUUUGGAGCAGCUCAGUUGACUUGUAAAGCAUAAUCCCCAAAAUGGCAGCAAGGGUGCUGGCAGCCCUGGCAUCCUGGGACCUCAGCCUUCAGCAGUGUCUGGAACUGCCUUUGAGGAAAACCUGCAGCAGGAUCCUGCUGACAGCCAUCUGAGAAUCGGCAGUUUCAUCUCCCCAGCUGUAGCCAGUAUGGAUUCCUGUGACCAAGGCUGAGUGGAGAAUUGCUGAGUCCCUGGAAACCGUCUUCUGCCUCCCAUAUCUUUCUGGGAAGCCAAGGGAGCCCAGGCUGUGGCUGUGAGGUGCAGCUGUUCAGACACAGCAGAAGGAGACACUCCAGA